UUGUGCCCUUGAGGCGUGGCUUCCGGAGCUAACGCGUUAAGUCGACCGCCUGGGGAGUACGGCCGCAAGGUUAAAACUCAAAUGAAUUGACGGGGGCCCGCACAAGCGGUGGAGCAUGUGGUUUAAUUCGAUGCAACGCGAAGAACCUUACCUGGUCUUGACAUCCACGGAAGUUUUCAGAGAUGAGAAUGUGCCUUCGGGAACCGUGAGACAGGUGCUGCAUGGCUGUCGUCAGCUCGUGUUGUGAAAUGUUGGGUUAAGUCCCGCAACGAGCGCAACCCUUAUCCUUUGUUGCCAGCGGUCCGGCCGGGAACUCAAAGGAGACUGCCAGUGAUAAACUGGAGGAAGGUGGGGAUGACGUCAAGUCAUCAUGGCCCUUACGACCAGGGCUACACACGUGCUACAAUGGCGCAUACAAAGAGAAGCGACCUCGCGAGAGCAAGCGGACCUCAUAAAGUGCGUCGUAGUCCGGAUUGGAGUCUGCAACUCGACUCCAUGAAGUCGGAAUCGCUAGUAAUCGUGGAUCAGAAUGCCACGGUGAAUACGUUCCCGGGCCUUGUACACACCGCCCGUCACACCAUGGGAGUGGGUUGCAAAAGAAGUAGGUAGCUUAACCUUCGGGAGGGCGCUUACCACUUUGUGAUUCAUGACUGGGGUGAAGUCGUAACAAGGUAACCGUAGGGGAACCUGCGGUUGGAUCAC
RNAcentral lists this ribosomal RNA (702 nucleotides) under Escherichia coli. RNAcentral's name for it is "bacterial SSU rRNA". It matches the Rfam family "Bacterial small subunit ribosomal RNA", at positions 824 to 1526 of the family's 1533-position model. The record is from RNAcentral. Lineage: Bacteria; Pseudomonadati; Pseudomonadota; Gammaproteobacteria; Enterobacterales; Enterobacteriaceae. RNAcentral also lists the same sequence under 2 other names.